GUGGGGAAUAUUGGACAAUGGGCGAAAGCCUGAUCCAGCCAUGCCGCGUGAGUGAUGAAGGCCUUAGGGUUGUAAAGCUCUUUCAGUAGGGAAGAUAAUGACGGUACCUACAGAAGAAGCCCCGGCUAACUUCGUGCCAGCAGCCGCGGUAAUACGAAGGGGGCUAGCGUUGUUCGGAUUUACUGGGCGUAAAGCGCACGUAGGCGGAUUGGUCAGUUAGAGGUGAAAUCCUGGAGCUCAACUCCAGAACUGCCUUCGAUACUGGCGAUCUUGAGUCCGGAAGAGGUGAGUGGAACUCCUAGUGUAGAGGUGGAAUUCGUAGAUAUUAGGAAGAACACCAGUGGCGAAGGCGGCUCACUGGUCCGGUACUGACGCUGAGGUGCGAAAGCGUGGGGAGCAAACAGGAUUAGAAACCCUAGUAGUCC
This 425-nucleotide ribosomal RNA is filed under the name uncultured bacterium. RNAcentral describes it as "partial 16S ribosomal RNA". It matches the Rfam family "Bacterial small subunit ribosomal RNA", at positions 354 to 796 of the family's 1533-position model. The record is from RNAcentral.